ACGAACGCUGGCGGCGUGCUUAACACCUGCAAGUCGAACGGAAAGGCCCUGCUUUUGUGGGGUGCUCGCGUGGCGAACGGGUGGGUAACACGUGAGUAACCUGCCCUUGACUUUGGGAUAACUUCAGGAAACUGGGGCUAAUACCGGAUAGGAGCUCCUGCUGCAUGGUGGGGGUUGGCAAGUUUCGGCGGUUGGGGAUGGACUCGCGGCUUAUCAGCUUGUUGGUGGGGUAGUGGCUUACCAAGGCUUUGACGGGUAGCCGGCCUGAGAGGGUGACCGGACAAAUUGGGACUGAGAUACGGCCCAGACUCCUACGGGAGGCAGCAGUGGGGAAUAUUGCACAAUGGGCGGAAGCCUGAUGCAGCAAAGCCGCGUGCGGGAUGACGGCCUUCGGGUUGUAAACCGCUUUCGCCUGGGACGAAGAGUGAGUGACGGUAAUGGGUAAAGAAGCACCGGCUAACUACGUG
Molecule: ribosomal RNA, 467 nt
Filed under: uncultured bacterium
Lineage: Bacteria
Description: partial 16S ribosomal RNA
Rfam family: Bacterial small subunit ribosomal RNA
Source: RNAcentral